Cyprinus carpio (common carp) is the source of this 840-nucleotide RNA transcript. It is a transcript of the gene named selenoprotein W-like, with no coding region annotated. The transcript has 7 exons. The record is from RefSeq and is a predicted model, not a curated record. NCBI's taxonomy places the organism in Eukaryota, Metazoa, Chordata, Actinopteri, Cypriniformes, Cyprinidae.
UGUGCAGAAUGCUCCAAUGAUGCGCCACUUGCUCCGCCUCAGAGCUUUCAUAACAAUCCAGGAAACAGCAUUAAAAUAUUUACCAGAACCGAAAGCAUUUCGUUCAGUAAGCGUCUAACGUUACACACGCCGCUGGAUCCAGUCAAGACCCACAGCAGCUGUCAGGAUGACCGUCAAAGUUCACAUCACUUACUGUGGUGGAUGAGGGUACAGGCCCAAGUUCACCAAACUCAAGGCGUUGCUUGAGGAUGAAUUCCCAGGCGAACUUGAGAUCACUGGUGAGGGCACACCCUCAACCACAGGCUGGUUUGAGGUGGAGGUAGACAAGAAGUUGGUGCACUCAAAGAAGAAUGGCGAUGGAUUUGUUGACUCUGAGUCAAAAUUCAAAGCAGUUGUGACUGCCAUUGAGCAGGCCAUAGGGAAAUAAGCAUGAACCGAUCAUAGAGGAGAAAUUAAGCAGUACAGGCUUGAAACAAAACACGGCAGUUUUUCUUCUCUGUAUGUUGGACUCCUGGGCAGUGCAACAAUGAUGGUGACGUCUAAAGUGUUUUCAGCACGGAUGUUGCUUGAUGCUCUCCGCUCUUCCCGGGAGAAGACACUCGGAGCGGGAAACUCCCUAUGUAUACUGCUUCAGAUAAACGCUUUAACGGUUUAAAAUAAUAAAGGAAAAUAAAAGGGAAAUUGUAAAAUUAGACAGAAUUUGGACAGAAAAUGUCAAGUCGAAGUACUUUUGACAUGUCUUUUCUUGUUUUUCUCUGUUUGCUUCUGUACAACGCACAAUUUGACGAACUAUUUUGGCAUUGUUUUAAGAUUUUUAUGCAAUAAAAGCUUCAUGGUGAA